GACGAACGCUGGCGGCGUGCUUAACACAUGCAAGUCGAACGGAAAGGCCCUGCUUUUGUGGGGUGCUCGAGUGGCGAACGGGUGAGUAACACGUGAGUAACCUGCCCUUGACUUUGGGAUAACUUCAGGAAACUGGGGCUAAUACCGGAUAGGAGCUCCUGCUGCAUGGUGGGGGUUGGAAAGUUUCGGCGGUUGGGGAUGGACUCGCGGCUUAUCAGCUUGUUGGUGGGGUAGUGGCUUACCAAGGCUUUGACGGGUAGCCGGCCUGAGAGGGUGACCGGCCACAUUGGGACUGAGAUACGGACCAGACUCCUACGGGAGGCAGCAGUGGGGAAUCUUGCACAGUGGGAGGAAGCCUGAUGCAGCAACGCCGCGUGCGGGAUGACGGCCUUCGGGUUGUAAACCGCUUUCGCCUGUGACGAAGCGUGAGUGACGGUAAUGGGUAAAGAAGCACCGGCUAACUACGUG
This 468-nucleotide ribosomal RNA is filed under the name uncultured bacterium. RNAcentral describes it as "partial 16S ribosomal RNA". It matches the Rfam family "Bacterial small subunit ribosomal RNA", at positions 28 to 507 of the family's 1533-position model. The record is from RNAcentral.